UACGUAGGGUGCAAGCGUUAAUCGGAAUUACUGGGCGUAAAGCGUGCGCAGGCGGUUUUGUAAGACCGAUGUGAAAUCCCCGGGCUUAACCUGGGAACUGCAUUGGUGACUGCAAGGCUUGAGUGUGUCAGAGGGGGGUGGAAUUCCAGGUGUAGCAGUGAAAUGCGUAGAGAUCUGGAGGAACACCGAUGGCGAAGGCAGCCCCCUGGGCUAACACUGACGCUCAUGCACGAAAGCGUGGGGAGCAAACAGG
RNAcentral lists this ribosomal RNA (253 nucleotides) under uncultured bacterium. Its description in RNAcentral is "partial 16S ribosomal RNA". It matches the Rfam family "Bacterial small subunit ribosomal RNA", at positions 524 to 776 of the family's 1533-position model. The record is from RNAcentral.